RNAcentral lists this long non-coding RNA (232 nucleotides) under Elaeis guineensis (African oil palm). RNAcentral's name for it is "long non-coding RNA (EGUI_LNC001240)". Lineage: Eukaryota; Viridiplantae; Streptophyta; Magnoliopsida; Arecales; Arecaceae. The record is from RNAcentral.
GAGCUAAUUAAUUUAUUGGAUUAAUGCCUGCUUCAACCUUGCCAAGCAUGUACCAUAAUGUGAUCUGUAGUUUCUUGUCACUCAAUGGCAAAAAUUUCCACUAAAUGGACUCUCAUCUCGGAUCUCAGACUUGUUAUAUAGUUUUUGAUUUUUUUACUAAUAACUUAGCUGCUAAGUAGGCUACUGAUGGUACAUUGCGUAGGGUUGCAUAUGGAACGUGAAUUUCUAGCCC